Eucalyptus grandis is the source of this 3346-nucleotide long non-coding RNA. RefSeq lists it as uncharacterized. The record is from RefSeq and is a predicted model, not a curated record. Lineage: Eukaryota; Viridiplantae; Streptophyta; Magnoliopsida; Myrtales; Myrtaceae. The transcript has 6 exons.
UUUUUCCUCCUAUAUGCAUAUACAUCCUAUUUCAUGCUUGCAAUUUUAAAGGAUGUUAUACUUUCUGCCUUAACAUAACUGCAAAAGUUGUGUUGACGGUUGGUGCCUUGUACUUGAAUGUUUGUUAAGGAAUGUGCAUUUGAUGACCCUAAUGGGUUAGUAGUGCCACUUUUGCUUCUAUUUUGUGAGAACACUUUUGCUUGGUUGUCUCAUUCUCACUUCCAAAACACUAACCCAGUGAAAAUACACAUCUUGGACUCUAUCUUACACCUAGAGAUGGAGAAUGAGAAGAUUUGCUGCAUUCCCCAUACUGUAGUUCCUCCUUGGUAGUGGUAAAAUUUCUUUACACCGCCAUACAAUUGAGCUAAGGAUCAACUCAUUGUGAUGCCAUCAAUUGUAUACUCUGAAAACUAUUUUCCUUGAGCUUCUUACCAUGUCCAUUUGCAGUUUGGAUUUUUGGAAACUUCUUGUUGCCCAUAGUCUUUCCUUUCUGUAUCAUUUUUUGAUAAACUCGCCAGUAUUAGUAACAAAUUUAUUUCAUUGACUAAGUGGUGGAGCUGGAAUUAUCCUGUCCAUGCUCCUUACUAAGUUUCCACUUUUACAACCUACUCUUAAGUUUAAAUAUGACUGGCAUAGGUAUGUUGUGCCUCUUUAAUGGACAAUUUCAUGCUUGUUCCGAUGGUUGAAAACGUGCAAAUUUAUGCUCCAAAGAAUAUCUUUUUCAUUUCAUGAAGUACAAUACUAAACUAUUAGGUUUUCCUGUAAAUUUUAGAUCAAUUGGGAGGUCAAAGUGAAAAAAAAAAUGAAUCUUUAGUGGCCAGACAUAUACAGAAAGAAUAAUUAUCUUCUUAUGGUAGGUUCAUUGCAGUUUGAGUUACUGAUUGAGAACUAGUACAUACAUGUUCACGAUGAUGGACACUAUCAGGGUCUUUAGUGUAGAAAGAUACCGUAGAGCAUUCAUGGUUCACAUGCAUACGAUAGCCUCUUCAGUACACAAGUAUUGCUUCCACCUAUGUUUUAGCAUGAUGCAAGUAUUGUACUUAUUACUUUUACCUAACAGAGGUAUCAAAACAUCACAUUAGUUAUGGCCAUAUUAUAGGAACAUCGGAGUGAAAUCAAGUUGAGUUAUUUAUUUUUGGCUACAGCAAGCAGAGGUGUGGCUUGUGUUUUGGUUGCAAGAAAGCUAGCCCUGGUCUACAUACUUGGACGAGGAUGAAGAUGAAAUCUCAGAUUCAGAACGAAUGUCUACUGUGGGUGGACCUCUAUUGCUGGGGACAGUCUCACCUGGAAAGUAAAACGCGAAGUAACUUAGGAUAUAAUCAUUGUCCUUAAAAAGAAAUGGAUAGUUAAGGUAGAGCAAUUUCGAGGCAGUUUUCUUAGAAAUAACUUUAAACUUUACAUUAUGGAAGAACUUCCCUGCUGAUAAUUUUUAAUGCUUGAAUAUACUUUCAAGAGUUGCUAUCAGCUGAACAACAUGAUACCUCAUACUUGGAAGCCUAAAUUAUCUUGUUCAUGCUUCAGAUUUCUACUCAACCUGUAAGUAUCGUCUAUCUUUCAGUAAAAAGUCCCUAAAAAUCUAUGUAGUUCAGAUGUUGAAAGUUGUGAGGCAAAUUUGUUGCAAAAUUUUAAACAUUGUCGCAUGAGUCACGCGUCAUUUUUGUUCUCGACUGCUUAAGGCCUGCUUAGUUUUAGAGAACAGCUUUAGUUUCCAUUGUCAUAGAAACUGUUUUCGAUGUUUUGUUGACAAAAUAUUUGUUUAGUGAAAAUAAUGUCAUUAGGGAUGAAAAUUGUGAGAAUAUGCUCAGGUUACAUCACAUUCCAAAAACAGGCUUAUUUAUUCCAAAUCUCCAUGUUUGCAUUUGGAAUCGGAAUACAAAAAAGUCAUCUUCAGUUUGUGAUUUUGAUUCUGAGAAUAGUUUUCCUUUUAUUUGUCAACUGCUUUUGGAGUGUUACCAAACACAUUUUCUGGUCUAUUUUAAUUCUCAAAUUGAAAUCAAAAUAGACUCUUGAGAAUCUUUAUCAGCCGAAUGCCUCCUUAGAUUAUCAAUCUCUUUCUGUCUGCAGAAAAAAUGGACUUCAUCAAGUUGCUUAACAGGCUUUGAACAUUGAAGAUUACUUCAUGUCAUCCAAGCAUCAUUAUAUGUAAUGCAUAAGCAGUGGGCUGAUGCCAUUAACAUAUUUCGAGAGGAAGUUUGAUUUGCUGUCAAACCUUGUUAGUGACCAUGGCAAGUGAUACUGUUAAUUCAGAGUGGUAGAUGGCGUUUCUUUUUUCUUCAUUUAACUAUUUUCGUUUGCUUAUCUAGGUCUUGACUCUUUCCCUCGGGAGGAAUUUUCCAAUCUAUCAGUUUCGUGUUAAUUCUCUGGAUGAAGUGGAUGACUUUGAAUUUGCUUCAGAUUAUAUUUCCUUCCAAAUACAUGAAGAGUCUUUUUUAGAUGUAACAAAUUGUAUAGUGGUAGUGAGUGGACUUAUGAAUGAUUCAAGCAAUGUGAAGAAGGGAAGAUCUUUGGAAGGAUCUUGUUGUGCAUCCCUCUUGGUCACUGUUGUGUGGAUUAGACUCUAUCUGAGGUGAAAACUUGGGAGAUGCCAAGAUGACAAUCCUGCAGGCUAGUGACCUUCCAUUUGUGCAUAUUGCAGGAACCACGUGUGCAAAUAACUGGGAUUUGUACCAGUUGAAGGACCAUAUCUUACGCCUGGAGAUGGAGAAUGAGAAGCUUCGCAGCAUUCCCCGUCCCGUAGUUCUCCCUUGUCAAUUGGUGGUAGAGGUGUGGCUUGUGUUUUAGCUGCAAGAAAGUGGGCCCUGAUCUACAUACUGGACGAGUAUGAAGAAGAAAUCUCUGAUUCAAAAUGACUAUCUGUUCAAGAGUUUGUGGUGGUUAUGCUUAUGUUGCUGCUGUGGGUGGACCUCUCAUACUUGGAGCUGCAGACAUUGGUGUGAGAAGCAAUGCAUGUGGGCUUUUUGACUGAUGCUCUUCGACUUCACCCUUUCUGGAGAAGUCUUAAUCCAUAUCUGCCAUGUGCCUUUUCUGCUAGGCAGGUAUUUGUCGAUAAAAAAAAAAAAAAAGUGGAGUAAAAUGUAGCGAUUUAUCUAUCGAGUGGGAUGGAAUUGACCAAAAGAUGCUGAAUCAUGGCUUCUAUCUGAUGGUAACUGUUGUCAUGGUAUUGCUGUAAGCUUUGAGACCUGCUCGAUAGUGCCAAGCUUUUGCUUCAUCUGUAUAUGUUCACUAUUUUCAUGUGUAAGAGAACCAAUUGUUUGGUUUGGAUUAUCUACACUUUGGGCUGAAUGGUUCGGGCAGUGUACUCGACUAACGAACUCUGCAUUUGAAUGUUGAGAUCUCUUACCCGAAA